RNA transcript from Dioscorea cayenensis subsp. rotundata (Guinea yam), 1568 nucleotides. It is a transcript of the gene named calumenin-like, with no coding region annotated. The transcript is spliced from 8 exons. The record is from RefSeq and is a predicted model, not a curated record. NCBI's taxonomy places the organism in Eukaryota, Viridiplantae, Streptophyta, Magnoliopsida, Dioscoreales, Dioscoreaceae.
GUCGAUAUUGAACUCAAUUUAGUUACGAGGACUAAAAUCACUUUCUGGUCUGCACCGAGGACUAAAACGCACUUUCACUGAGUUCAUAUUUUACAUAGAUAGUUUAAGCCAGGUGACGUCAGUUUCAGUGACGUGGCAAUUCCCAAUUGGGCAUCAAUGUCGAGCUUUGAAGAAAGCUUUGCAUCUUCGACGUUGCCAUCCCCGGCGGUAAACCUAAUCCCAUUCUCACCGCGCGAGAUCCCUCGCCGGCAUCGGCUUCUCGCCGGAGCUCCAUCCAUCCAUCAAUGGCGACCCUCUCUGCCUUCGUAUACGUGACCCUCGGCCUUCUCCUCCUCGUCCUCCUCGCCUCUUACUCUCCUUCUUCCCGCCUCCAUCACCACGGCUCCCACCGCCGCCUCAAACUCCGCGAUCCCGCCGCCCCGCCGUCACCCCCUGGUCGCCACCAUGCCGCACCUUUCGACCCCCUUAUUGCUGAGAUCGAGCUUCACCGUGAUGAUCGCGAGUGGGAGCGCACCCACUUUGACAUGCCCGCCGCCCCCGGCCACGAACCCCAGCCGGAAUGGGAGGACUUUAUUGACGCCGAGGACUACAUCAAUGAUGAGGAUCGAUUCAAUGUCACUCACCGUAUUGUCCUCUUGUUCCCCAAGAUCGAUGUCGCCCCGAUUGACGGCCGCAUCAGCCUGGAUGAACUCACGGAUUGGAAUCUUCAGCAGGCCGGACGUGAGGUGAUGCACCGGACAAAGAGGGACAUGGAUCUGCACGACAAGAAUCACGAUGGGUUCGUUUCGUUUGACGAGUAUGAGCCGCCGUCCUGGUCUCUGAAUGCUGAAGAUGGCUCAACUUGGUGGAAGAGAGAGCACUUUGAUGCUUCAGAUGUAGAUGGGAAUGGUGUUUUAAAUCUCACUGAAUUUAAUGACUUCCUCCAUCCAGCAGAUAGCAGUAGCCCCAAGCUGAUUCAUUGGUUGUGCAAAGAAGAGAUAAGGGAGAGAGACAAAGAUAAUGAUGGGAAGCUAAACUUUCAGGAGUAUUUCCAUGGCUUGUUUGACUCAAUCCGGAAUUAUGAAGAUGCUUACAAUCAGUCAGAUUCAAUGGAGGCACCAGCUAAUAAAUUAUUUAAAGAACUUGACAAAGAUAAUGAUGGGUUUCUGUCUGUUGAUGAACUGAUUCCUGUAAUCGGUAAUCUUCACCCUUCGGAGCGUUACUAUGCAAAACAACAAGCUGAGUAUGUGAUAACACAGGCAGAUGCAGAUAAAGAUGGCCAACUCAGUUUGAAAGAGAUGGUCGAGCACCCGUAUGUAUUCUAUAGUUCAAUUUUCACCGAGGACGAUGAUGACAGUGACUAUCACGAUGAAUUCCGCUAAUUAUCAGGUUGUUGUAACAAAACAAAACACGGAAGAACCAUAGAAUGAUCAAUGAUGUUGCUGAAAUGGCAGUCUUUCCCUCUUAGUUCAUCCUCAAAUGUGGUUUUCUUUGUCAUAGUUGUUGAGAGUAGGUUCUGUAAUAUUCGAUUUUCUUCGACGGAUUCAUUCUUUAUUCUGUUUAUUGUGCUCUGCAGCUGAUCUAAUUGA